Molecule: ribosomal RNA, 604 nt
Filed under: uncultured freshwater bacterium
Lineage: Bacteria
Description: bacterial SSU rRNA
Rfam family: Bacterial small subunit ribosomal RNA
Source: RNAcentral
AGAGUUUGAUCCUGGCUCAGGAUUAACGCUAGCGGCAGGCAUAAUACAUGCAAGUUGAACGAGAUAAGUUUUAGCAAUAGAACUUUGAAAGUGGCGCACGGGUGCGUAACACGUAUGCAACCUGCCCCAAACAGGAGGAUAGCCUCUCGAAAGAGAGAUUAAUACUCCAUAAUAAUAUUGUUAGGCAUCUAAUGAUAUUUAAAGCUGAGGCGGUUUGGGAUGGGCAUGCGGUUGAUUAGGUAGUUGGUGAGGUAACGGCUCACCAAGCCAACGAUCAAUAGGGGGUCUGAGAGGAUGUCCCCCCACACUGGUACUGAGAUACGGACCAGACUCCUACGGGAGGCAGCAGUAGGGAAUAUUGGACAAUGGGGGCAACCCUGAUCCAGCCAUGCCGCGUGCAGGAAGACUGCCCUAUGGGUUGUAAACUGCUUUUGUACGGGAAGAAACCUCACUACGUGUAGUGAGUUGACGGUACCGUGAGAAUAAGGAUCGGCUAACUUCGUGCCAGCAGCCGCGGUAAUACGAAGGAUCCAAGCGUUGUCCGGAUUUACUGGGUUUAAAGGGUGCGUAGGCGGGCUAUUAAGUCAGUGGUGAAAGCCUACAG